CAUCGAGAUUAAAGAAGACAUCUCCACCGAAAGGACGUCCAUCAAUCUUCCGCUGGCGUCUGUUUCAGACAGUCCUGCUAAGGGAAGGAUAGCUUUUAUUUUGUAUGCAACGGAUGAGCUGUUUAAAUCGAACCAUCUUACUUUAGCCAACAACACCAAAUACCACUUGGUCAAACCAAUCAUGUCGGUGUCCAUACCAGACUCUCGUAUCGACCUGCUGGAGGAGAAAGUCUUGAUAACAUUGUUACAUGCAGAUAAAGGUACACACCAGCCCUGCUGUGUGUACUGGAAGGUACCAAAAAACGGACACCUGGGUGAAUGGUCAAGUGAUGGCUGUGAGCUGGUCUCGUCAUCAGAGAACAAGACCGUCUGCG
Molecule: long non-coding RNA, 374 nt
Organism: Physella acuta
Lineage: Eukaryota; Metazoa; Mollusca; Gastropoda; Physidae
Source: RefSeq, a predicted model, not a curated record